Molecule: non-coding RNA, 46 nt
Organism: Pediculus humanus corporis (human body louse)
Lineage: Eukaryota; Metazoa; Arthropoda; Insecta; Psocodea; Pediculidae
Source: Rfam
AAAACGGCUCUUUUUAGAGCCACAAAAUUUUACACGUUAUAAUAAA